GCGUCACGUUUGAGAAGCGCUGAUGGCUUCCUGCAGGACGGGAACGGACUGUGUUCCUUUAGCUCGCACGGCUCCUCUCCUGAGUGUGAAUUUCGGUGCCUGUUGCUCCUUUACUAUAAAUCAACCUUGUGUUUUAAGGCAGCCGUCCCCAACCAUUUUGGUACCAGUUUCAUGGGAGACAAUUUUCCCACGUACUGUGGGAUGAGGGUGGGGUUGGGGGGAUGGUUUUGGGAUGAAACUGUUCCACCUCGUAUGCUCAGGCAUUAGUUAGAUUCUCAUAAGGAGCACGCAACCUGGAUCCCUCUCACACGCACAGCUCACGACAGGGUUCAUGCUCCUAUGAGAUCGAAUGCCGCCGCCGAUCCGACGGGAGGCUGUGCGGCCCAGUUCCUGACAGGCCACGGACCAGUACCUGUCCACACUUGGGGUUGGGCACCCCUGUUUAAAGGUACCUUGUUAAUCUGCCCAGUCUAGUCCCAGAGAACGCCAAAGGCAUGUGUUCAUGCCAAAUUGUGAACAGAGCAGAAUCCCCAGGCAGCACAUGGCUCUGGGCACUGGGGAAAAGGAAGGACCUGAGUGGUCACGCUGAGGAAUCAUCACUGUCCUCAGCAGAGCAGCGGAGGGACCUUUUGAAGUGCCCGCUGGCU
This 647-nucleotide long non-coding RNA is filed under the name Homo sapiens (human). RNAcentral describes it as "non-protein coding lnc-PDGFA-11:6". Lineage: Eukaryota; Metazoa; Chordata; Mammalia; Primates; Hominidae. The record is from RNAcentral.